RNAcentral lists this ribosomal RNA (884 nucleotides) under uncultured bacterium. RNAcentral describes it as "bacterial SSU rRNA". It matches the Rfam family "Bacterial small subunit ribosomal RNA", at positions 8 to 916 of the family's 1533-position model. The record is from RNAcentral.
AGAGUUUGAUCCUGGCUCAGGAUGAACGCUGGCGGCGUGCCUAAUACAUGCAAGUCGAACGGGUGUAGCAAUACACUAGUGGCGAACGGGUGAGUAACACGUUGGUGACCUGCCCUAAAGAGGGGAAUACCACUUCGAAAGGAGUGACAAAACCGCAUAAGCUAGUGCUAGUUAGAGAGGCAUUAGUAAAAGAGCAAUCUACUUUAGGAGGGGCCUGCGGCCCAUCAGCUAGUUGGUGAGGUAAAAGCCCACCAAGGCGAAGACGGGUAGGGGACCUGAGAGGGUGAUCCCCCACAAUGGAACUGAAACACGGUCCAUACACCUGCGGGUGGCAGCAGUAGGGAAUAUUGCCUAAUGGGCGAAAGCCUGAAGCAGCAACGCCGCGUGAACGAAGAAGGCCUUCGGGUCGUAAAGUUCUUUUACGUGGGAUGAGGAAGGACAGUACCACGAGAAUAAGUCUCGGCUAACUACGUGCCAGCAGCCGCGGUAAAACGUAGGAGACGAGCGUUAUCCGGAUUUACUGGGCGUAAAGCGCGUGUAGGAGGCGCUACAAGUUGGAUGUGAAAGCUCCCGGCUUAACUGGGAGAGGUCGUUCAAGACUGUAGUGCUAGAGUGAGGCAGAGGUAGAUGGAACUCCGGGAGUAGUGGUGAAAUGCGUAGAUAUCCGGAAGAACACCAGAGGCGAAAGCGAUCUACUGGGCCUAAACUGACACUGAGACGCGAAAGCCAGGGUAGCAAACGGGAUUAGAGACCCCGGUAGUCCUGGCCGUAAACGAUGUAGACUGAGCGUUGGUUGGGUAAAACCAAUCAGUGCUGAAGCAAACGCGAUAAGUCUACCGCCUGGGGAGUACGGUCGCAAGAUUAAAACUCAAAUGAAUUGACGG